CUAGACUCUUGGAGCCUGCUCUGUGGGGUUUGUCUUUUUUAAGUGCUGCUGGGAUUUCUAAGUGUGAGUUGUAAACAGCAAAAAGAGCGACCACAAGGAAUGUGUCCCUUCUUAUAAAGGAAGUAUAGCACAGCUCCGAGAAUGGCCAACAGAAGAAUACACACAAUGACAGCCACAAUAACAACGCCAUAGCUUUUUUCACUUCUGGAGCCUACAGAAAUGACCACAAAUACCACAGUUAAUCAGUAUACAGUAUAAUAGACAGAAGAGGUUGCUAGGUAACACUUGUGAGGCGGCCCGACUCUCAGCGGUGAUUGGCUAUACCAAUAACACGUCCUCCGUGAGGGGCGGGCGGCAGGGCUGCGUAUUGACGUCUCCGGGUGUUUCCAUGGAGACGGACGAGUGACGCGGCCGGCCACUGACGUCAGCGGGAGGCGACGCGAUGGAAGCCGGACCCACGAGCGGGAGUCAGGCGCCGCUGCACAGGGUCAGAAGAAUGCAGAGCAUGGGAAACAUUAACAUACUGCAUACUGACUCCAGAUAAGGCUGCCGGGAGGAGCGCCAGCCGGGACGGACAUCACCAACUCUGUGCAUAUAACAGAGGCUAUUGCAAGGUCCAUAUUGACAUCUAUGGUAAUUAACCUGCUAUGAGCAUUUGGAUGCUGUCCACUAAUAUUGUAUGGAUAUGCAUGAACAUUUUGCACUUAUCCAGUGAGAGAUACUAGCAGGGCUACUAACAUUAUUACACAGCUAAAAGACGCUAAAGCCUAAUCACUAACUCAAUUGCUAACAGCUUUCAAGUGCAUGUUACUAAACAUUCCAGGUGGUACAAAGUAUCACUGAAGACUACGCAAAGGAGACUUUGUUGCAGAUCAGUCCUGCAGUGCAAUUGCUUUGUGCUUGCUUUUUUUGUUUUAAAUACACAGUUUUUAGAAUAUGGAAUAUAUGUAUAUUUUAUAUGUGUGAAAGGUGCUGGCCAGUAUCAAAUGUUUUAUUUUAUUAUGUGAUAAAAAAUAUACUGGAAUAAAAUCUACUACAGAUUA
This is a long non-coding RNA of Pseudophryne corroboree (corroboree frog), 1043 nucleotides long. RefSeq lists it as uncharacterized. NCBI's taxonomy places the organism in Eukaryota, Metazoa, Chordata, Amphibia, Anura, Myobatrachidae. The record is from RefSeq and is a predicted model, not a curated record. The transcript has 4 exons.